Molecule: long non-coding RNA, 772 nt
Organism: Dalotia coriaria
Lineage: Eukaryota; Metazoa; Arthropoda; Insecta; Coleoptera; Staphylinidae
Exons: 2
Source: RefSeq, a predicted model, not a curated record
UGAACAUUGCGCAAUAAUCUUCUGCCACACCCGGUCGACCACAGCACACUAUCGGCAGCGAGCUCAGUCACACUAGCGAAUUACCACCGGUUAGCACGUAAAACGCAAACAAAAUAUAAGCAAAAUAACUGAUUUGGGUGUUACUUUAGUAUUUUUUGUACUACUGGCCAUCAUAACCUCAACACCAGAAGGAUUUCAAAAAAUUCAAGAUAUUCUACAAUAUCUUGAAACCACUCCACCAUACGUCAAAUACAGUAUUGGAAUCUUGGUCGUGAUUGCAGUGAUAGUUGCAGCUGGUAUCCAUUGCUGUACCAACAAAUACAAAAAGAAGCAUAACAACACAAUGACGAAUAUCGUAUAAUCCAACAAUUCAACAGCGAUGGUGUGAAUAUACGAAAAACGUUUGUAUAUUAACCACACACCAAUCGCCAUCAAAUGGCAUGGGCGCAAUGGUAUUCAAGAAUCCAGUACCAGUGGCGUAGCUAGGUAACUAAACUUUCUGGUAAGGAUUUGAGGGCCCCCUGCCUUGGGGCCCCAAAACACUGCCUCGCCAACAACUCGAUAACUACGCCACUGACAACUACAUGGAAAACUUCGAUAAGAAGACGAAUUCAUUGGCCAAACUACAUGCUAGGGGUACGACUACCCUUGAAACAACGUUUCAGAAGCUCUGCAACGCAGAAGGACGGCAUAUAUUCGUAUAUGUUUGUAAUUUAAUCAAUUUGUAUUGUAAUCAUGAAAUGUUAAUGUAAAUACAUAUUCUUUAAAUUAA